This is a long non-coding RNA of Pipra filicauda (Wire-tailed manakin), 323 nucleotides long. RefSeq lists it as uncharacterized. The record is from RefSeq and is a predicted model, not a curated record. The transcript is spliced from 3 exons. NCBI's taxonomy places the organism in Eukaryota, Metazoa, Chordata, Aves, Passeriformes, Pipridae.
AUCCCUUCCUACCUACCCCAGUGACUCUGUGGCAUCAGGGAAAACAGAUUCAUUGAGAAGCCAUUCUCUGAAACAUCUCAGAGAAAUGUAACUUCGGGAUUAUCUCAAAUGCACUGGAAACAUAAGUAGCAAAAGUCUUUCAGACGAAGAAACCUGCAUGGAAUAUGUUAAUAUAUGGUGCAGAUUGGGCGUAUUAGUGAUUAUGUGCUUGUCAGGGAUGCUGUGAAGAAGAGGCUCAUCAAAAACCAGGUGAAGGCUUUGAGACAAUGAGUGUGUGGAGAUUGCACAGCUUGCAGCCAAGGAGCAAUGGGAUGUCGGAGAAA